This 247-nucleotide ribosomal RNA is filed under the name uncultured bacterium. Its description in RNAcentral is "partial 16S ribosomal RNA". It matches the Rfam family "Bacterial small subunit ribosomal RNA", at positions 524 to 767 of the family's 1533-position model. The record is from RNAcentral.
UACGUAGGGUGCGAGCGUUGUCCGGAUUUAUUGGGCGUAAAGAGCUCGUAGGCGGUUUGUCGCGUCGGCCGUGAAAAUCUCCACGCUUAACGUGGAGCGUGCGGUCGAUACGGGCAGACUUGAGUUCGGUAGGGGAGACUGGAAUUCCUGGUGUAGCGGUGAAAUUCGUAGAUAUCGGGAGGAACACCGGUGGCGAAGGCGGCGACCUGGGUCAGAUACUGGACGCUGAGGCGCGAAAGCGUGGGAG